Molecule: ribosomal RNA, 440 nt
Filed under: uncultured bacterium
Lineage: Bacteria
Description: partial 16S ribosomal RNA
Rfam family: Bacterial small subunit ribosomal RNA
Source: RNAcentral
CCUACGGGAGGCAGCAGUGGGGAAUAUUGCACAAUGGGGGAAACCCUGAUGCAGCGACGCCGCGUGAGUGAAGAAGUAUUUCGGUAUGUAAAGCUCUGUCAGCAGGGAAGAAAAUGACGGUACCUGACCUAUAAGCUCCGGCUAACUACGUGCCAGCAGCCGCGGUAAUACGUAGGGGGCAAGCGUUAUCCGGAUUUAAUGGGUGUAAAGGGAGCGUAGACGGCAGGGCAAGUCUGGAGGGAAAGUCGGGGGCUCAACCCCCGGACUGCUCUGGAAACUGCCAGGCUGGAGUGCAGGAGAGGUAAGUGGAAUUCCUAGUGUAGCGGUGAAAUGCGUAGAGAUUAGGAGGAACACCAGUGGCGAAGGCGGCUUAUUGGACUGUAACUGACGUUGAGGCUCGAAAGCGUGGGGAGCAAACAGGAUUAGAUACCCCUGUAGUC